This 253-nucleotide ribosomal RNA is filed under the name uncultured bacterium. RNAcentral describes it as "partial 16S ribosomal RNA". It matches the Rfam family "Bacterial small subunit ribosomal RNA", at positions 524 to 776 of the family's 1533-position model. The record is from RNAcentral.
UACGUAGGGUGCAAGCGUUGUCCGGAAUUAUUGGGCGUAAAGGGCUCGUAGGCGGUCCAUCACGUCGGGAGUGAAAAGCUGGGGCUUAACCCCAGUCCUGCUUCCGAUACGGGUGGACUAGAGGUAGGUAGGGGAGAACGGAAUUCCUGGUGUAGCGGUGAAAUGCGCAGAUAUCAGGAGGAACACCGGUGGCGAAGGCGGAUCUCUGGGCCUUACCUGACGCUCAGGUGCGAAAGCUAGGGGAGCGAACAGG